Molecule: transfer RNA, 64 nt
Filed under: Neohermes californicus
Lineage: Eukaryota; Metazoa; Arthropoda; Insecta; Megaloptera; Corydalidae
Also listed under: 1 other name
Description: tRNA-Leu
Source: RNAcentral
UCUAAUAUGGCAGAAUAGUGCAAUGGAUUUAAGCUUCAUAUAUAAAGAAUAACUUUUAUUAGAA